GGGGGGGGGGGGGCAGGAUGAAAAAUUUUGUCCUGCAUUUUUUUUUAGUUGUAAUCUCUGUCCUGCCUUUUUAUUUUUCACUCUAUUCGGUCCUGCCUUUUUUUUAUUAGUUUAUCCUGACUUUUUUUUACCUAAAUUGUCAUCCUGCCUUUUUUUUUUUUGCAAAGUGUCUCAUCCUGCCUUUUUUUUUGACUCAAAACUCCUGUCCUGCCUAUUUUUUCAAAUUUCAUCCUAGCCCCCCCCCCCC
This 247-nucleotide long non-coding RNA is filed under the name Mytilus galloprovincialis (Mediterranean mussel). The record is from RNAcentral. Lineage: Eukaryota; Metazoa; Mollusca; Bivalvia; Mytilida; Mytilidae.